This 379-nucleotide ribosomal RNA is filed under the name uncultured eukaryote. Its description in RNAcentral is "partial 18S ribosomal RNA". It matches the Rfam family "Eukaryotic small subunit ribosomal RNA", at positions 592 to 975 of the family's 1831-position model. The record is from RNAcentral.
CAAUAGCGUAUAUUAAAGUUGUUGCGGUUAAAAAGCUCGUAGUUGGAUUUCUGCUGAGAACGACCGGUCCGCCCUCUGGGUGUGUAUCUGGCUCUUUCUUGGCAUCUUCUUGGUGAACGUUGCUGCACUUGACUGUGUGGAGCGCUACCCAGGACUUUUACUUUGAGGAAAUUAGAGUGUUUCAAGCAGGCAUACGCCUUGAAUACAUUAGCAUGGAAUAAUAAGAUAGGACCUCGGUUCUAUUUUGUUGGUUUCUAGAGCUGAGGUAAUGAUUAAUAGGGAUAGUUGGGGGCAUUCGUAUUUAACUGCCAGAGGUGAAAUUCUUGGAUUUGUUAAAGACGGACUACUGCGAAAGCAUUUGCCAAGGAUGUUUUCAUUG